This 468-nucleotide ribosomal RNA is filed under the name uncultured bacterium. RNAcentral describes it as "partial 16S ribosomal RNA". It matches the Rfam family "Bacterial small subunit ribosomal RNA", at positions 28 to 507 of the family's 1533-position model. The record is from RNAcentral.
GACGAACGCUGGCGGCGUGCUUAACACAUGCAAGUCGAACGGAAAGGCCCUGCUUUUGUGGGGUGCUCGAGUGGCGAACGGGUGAGUAACACGUGAGUAACCUGCCCUUGACUUUGGGAUAACUUCAGGAAACUGGGGCUAAUACCGGAUAGGAGCUCCUGCUGCAUGGUGGGGGUUGGAAAGUUUCGGCGGUUGGGGAUGGACUCGCGGCUUAUCAGCUGGUUGGUGGGGUAGUGGCUUACCAAGGCUUUGACGGGUAGCCGGCCUGAGAGGGUGACCGGCGACAUUGGGACUGAGAUACGGACCAGACUCCUACGGGAGGCAGCAGUGGGGAAUAUUGCACAAUGGGCGGAAGCCUGAUGCAGCAACGCCGCGUGCGGGAUGACGGCCUUCGGGUUGUAAACCGCUUUCGCCUGUGACGAAGCGUGAGUGACGGUAAUGGGUAAAGAAGCACCGGCUAACUACGUG